RNAcentral lists this non-coding RNA (77 nucleotides) under unclassified sequences. Its description in RNAcentral is "L2-Alphaproteobacteria ribosomal protein leader". It matches the Rfam family "L2-Alphaproteobacteria ribosomal protein leader". The record is from RNAcentral.
GGCCACCUGCGGACGCACAGUCGAGGGGGCUAACACAUAGGGUGGAUCCUCCACCCGUCUGCAAACGGAAGACAGAA